Molecule: ribosomal RNA, 492 nt
Filed under: uncultured bacterium
Lineage: Bacteria
Description: partial 16S ribosomal RNA
Rfam family: Bacterial small subunit ribosomal RNA
Source: RNAcentral
AUUGAACGCUGGCGGCAUGCUUUACACAUGCAAGUCGAACGGCAGCGCGGGCUUCGGCCUGGCGGCGAGUGGCGAACGGGUGAGUAGUACAUCGGAACGUGCCCAGCAGUGUGUGAUAGCUCGGCGAAAGCCGGAUUAAUACCGCAUACGAGCUUACGGUGAAAGCGGGGGAUCUUCGGACCUCCCGCCCUUGCUGCGUCCAAUGGGAGGAUGUCGGAUUAGUUAGUUGGUGGGGUAAAGGCCCACCAAGGCGACGAUCCGGAGCUGGUCUGAGAGGAUGAACAGCCACACUGGGACUGAGACACGGCCCAGACUCCUACGGGAGGCAGCAGUGGGGAAUUUUGGACAAUGGGCGAAAGCCUGAUCCAGCAAUGCCGCGUGUGUGAUGAAGGCCUUCGGGUUGUAAAGCCCUUUUGGCGGGAAAGAAAAGGACUGUGUCAAUACCACGGUUCGAUGACGGUACCCGAAGAAUAAGCACCGGCUAACUACGUG